GGCGACGCUCAGUCUCGCCUGUCGCAAUCCGGUGCAGAUAUACGUGCAAUUACCCUGUCAACGGUACUUAAAAUCUCCGGCUCUCCGUCGCGGCGAGCUUUCGCCAGACGAGUCGGAUCGGAAACGGGAGUUUGUCCAGUGAUCGAAGGAGUUUCUGAAUUUUUUUUUUACUUUUUCACAAGGUGUUUUUGAAACGGUGCGGUUUUCGCGGGCUAAGAAAAAAAUUAACGCGUUGUUACAACCCCCCGAACGAGGGUGACGACUUUGUUUUUACUCGGAGGGUUUUUAAAAUCGACGGGAACGGGCCAACCUGGCGAAGCAACGAGGAAAAGGGGAAAAAUCGAAGGGGUGAAUCCGCUAUUGAGAGGAAAGACACUUGACGUCCGGUGGUGCGAAACGCGCGCGAUUAGAACGCCUCGUAACGCUGCCUCUUUGCAGCGCACCUUGUAAGCGGCAAGUGUGGUGAAAUCGCCGUCACGAUGCUCUGACAUUAGCGCCAAAACACUGUAGUGAAUCCUGGCUAAAUUCGAGGGGAUAUAUAGUUCGCCUAGUUAAUCCCCUGCACUCGCGAGGAAAAGAAGGCGGGGGGAUUUAUUGCCCGCAGUUUCCCGUGACGAACCGUCAUUAGCCGCCUCUGAAAUCUCGCCAAUUUCUUUCGAGACCAUGGAUCGCCACCUGUGGCUAGGCGUUACUCUGCUUUUUGCUAUUUCGCAAGGUGUGAGAUGCCUGCGGGACGUCAGUCUGGAAGUUCUGCCCGAGGUUGUUCAGAGAGGUCAGGAAGCGAUUUUACGAUGCCGCUACGACCUGCAGGACAGACCGCUGUACUCGGUCAAGUGGUACCGGGGUAACCACGAGUUUUACCGAUUUGCACCGAAGGACUCACCCGCGACAAAGACCUUCCCCAUCGCCGGCAUUAACGUUGACGUCACGAACUCGAACGGCAGUCAAGUUAUGCUGAGGAACGUGGAUUUCAGACUGUCCGGGAACUUUAGCUGCGAGGUUACGGCCGAUGCACCAUCGUUCUCAACGGCCUUUGUGACGAAGAAUUUGAACGUAGUAUCUUUACCCCAAGGAAGGCCCGCGAUUGCAACCGGUAGAGACCGUUAUGAUCCUGGAGAUACUCUCGAAGCAAAUUGCACUUCACCGCCUUCAAAACCAUCCACCCACCUUUCAUUCACGCUCAACAACGUGCCGGUCGGUCAAGCCAACGUGAAGCAGCGCAAGUUCGACUCGAACUUCGAUGGCCAUCAGCAUCUCGCCACGAGCCCCGGGCUUUUAGGGAGCGAGCUAAGCCUGGUCCUCAAACUGCUUCCGUCUCAUUAUGUCAACGGUCAAUUGAACCUGCGAUGCUUGGCUGAGAUUCCGGCCGUAUACACGUCGAUGAGCGAAGUGCAGCUCGGCCCAGGACAGCGGGAGCCGAUCCCCGAGAGAGCUAACGCGAGUCUAAAACCGAUUGGAAAACGGCUCCAUCAACGAUCUGUUAAAGAGAUGGAACUUUCUGAAGUUGAUGAGCUUCUCCAUGAAAUGGAAGCAACGGAAGCUGAACUUGCUAAACGGAUUAGUAACAGAAGUUCGUAUCAGCUUCGUCAGGGAGACGUGUGCCACCCGAAUUCUAUCAGCGAAAAUGAUGUUAGGUUUAAAGAAGUGAAUUGGGACCAAGGAUUCAAUAGUGCAUCCCCAGCUUGUCGCUUGGACUCUAACUCUCAAUGUACUAAAUUAAGUGAUCCUCACCAAAAUCUUCCAACAGCCGUGACAAACAUCUGCAUGGCUUUCGAUGAGGAUUCCCUACAUUUCGAUGCGACCGACAAGAUGAUAGCUGAUUUCAAAACUUGGCGUUACAACUGUUGCCCAACAGUGCCACAAAAGGUUGAACAAGCUAAUAAUAAUCAUAAGGAUAGUAUGGCUAUGUCCGAGGAUUUGGAAAAACAAACUUAUGCGCGGUCAAAUUCUUUGUCAAAUGCAAAUAUUGAUGUAAAUAAAAAAAUCAUUGGGUCAGAUCAACCUACAAUAGCCGUCAAUAGUGACAAUGCACAUUUGCACGCAUCAAAUGAUCGUACGAAUUCAAAUACUGCUGCUUCGAAUUUGCAUAGUGAUACUUCGAAAGCUUACACGCCUGUACAUUCCACACAUGUAGAGUCUGGUCAAAGGCAGUUUGCACAAUCUCAUAGAAAUUCUUAUAGCACUGGUAAUUUAUUGAACUGCACGAAUGAGGACAUCCAUGUUUUCCAAAAUGUUGACGCAACGCACAAGAUGGGUAAUGAUGCAGCUACAAAUACAGAAUUCUCAAGAAAAUCACACCGGCUGUUAACACUCUCUGACUUUUGGGAAUCAGAUCCAAGUAAAUCUCAAGAGGAUAUGCUUCGGAUCAAAUUGGAAGAAGAAAAAUUUAGAAGAGAUCAUUGCGAGCACUUGAUUCAAGAACUUCAAAAAAGACUGCUUGAACAACAAGAAAAAGUAGCAGUAGCGGUGAGGGUAGAUAAUGAAAAAAACGUUGUUAUAACAAGACUUCAAAAUGCUUGGACCAAGUUGAAAUUGAGGUGGCAAGUAUUGGAAGCGGAAUCAAGUGACUUACAUUUAACCCUGAAAAACGUAAAAGAUAAACAUCGAACGGAAUGUACUGAACUUCAAUCCCAGAUCAAACGGUACGAAGGGGAAUUAUCGAAAGCACUGGAUCUAGCUGGUGGUUAUAAAGAAAAAAGUGAUACCUUGACUAAAGAAAAAUUAGAUUUAUUAAAGAGUCAUGCAGAUGAGCUAGAAAAUUAUAAAUCUUUGGUACAAGAAGUUGAGAAUAGGUACAGUCAACUAAAAGAUGAAUACAACAAAGUACUAGAUCACAACCAACAACUUGGAGUGGCACUGAAAAAUACUCAGCAAGAAGUGAAUAAAGAGAGACUUCGAGGCGGUGAAGUAAGAGAAGAAAUGGGUGUAAUUCAUAAAGCUCUCGACGCCUGUGAAGCGGAGCUGAUCGUUCUUCGGCAAGAAAAGGAAAAUCUUCAGCUAAAAUUGAAAGAAGAAACGAAUAGAAAUCAUAUUUUGGAACAAAAUAAGUCUACCCUUCUUACAGCCAUAGAUGAAGCAAAAAUGGCAGAGAAAGCAGCUAACGCGGAAGCAAAGUCUAUAGCUGCUCAACAAGAAAGAAUAAGAAUAGAAUUGCGAGAGGUUUACCAGAAACAAGUCGACGAAGUAGUGAAAGCUAAGCUCCAAGAAUUUCAAUCACAACUUGAUGCAGCCGAAUCUGCGUUUCACUCUGAGUUGGAAAGUAGGCAGCGUGCAAUCGCUGAAUGUGCAGCUAGGAAGAUCAAAACUGUUCUUGAUAAACAUCAGCUAGAGAUAAAUUUAUUGGAGGAAAAGCAUAAAGAAGAAAAACGGCUGUAUGAAAUUCAAUUGGCCCAGGCUAUGCAACAGGUUUCAAUGCUGAAUACUAAGUUGAAUUCUCAACACGCCAACAAGACUCAACUUGCCGAGCAAUUGCACUCAGUCAUGCAAAGGCAAUGGCAGCAAGCACUGCAAAUUAUAUCAGGUGGUAAUAUGGAUAAUCUAACUCCCAUACAACGUAUUCAUGCUGAAAAGUUUUUUGAAAAUAAACAUCCAAUGAAGUCAGAAUCCAGCCCGAAUAUCGGGAGCAGUAUUAUGGAGCCUAUGCGACUGGAGUCACAUUCCAUGCCCGUGAUUGAUGGGCGGGGCUUCCUUUCUGCCCGUUUAACUGAAGAAAGAGAUGGAUACGCGAAAUCAAACACUUUAACUGAUAAUACUCCAUUAACAAGCCGCAGAGAUCAGCCAAAAGAUGAUCUUCGUAGAUAUAUCAAAAUGAUAUUGGAUAUGCAACAGCCAAAGUCAAACUUUGUGCAAGCACCGUGUUCUGAGUCACGCCAAAGUCCAACUCCGAUUUGCAGAGAAGUCCCUAGAAAGCAUUACACGAAGAAAGAACAGAGUUUUCUCAGUGAAGAUAGCAGUGUGGUUUGGCAACCAAGUUCCGAGGUCUUUACUCAAGAAGAAAGUGAAUAUGUUUCUGUUCCUGAAAAACCGGCGGCAAAGGGGGAUCAGCAGAAAAAUAAGCCUCCGUGGAAAUGAAUUCUUCAAUUCAAUUUUGUUGAACCACAUUAAUAAUGUCAAAUUUUGACAGUCAACUAGAUAUACGCAUUUGUGAAAUAUUGCGUCCGAAAGUUGGUGGUCUGCUGACCAGCUGGAUAAGUUUUGAUAUCAAUAUUCUAUAAUUACGGACGUCAGCGACCUUCGAAAAUGUAAAUUGUGAUUAUUCAUCUGAAACACAUAGUAGACCAGGUAUACGAGUCUCUGAAUCAUUUAUCUCGUUCCAUGGUACGCAACAUGGACACAAAUCCUGAGCUCGGAAACUUCGCGUCGAAGACAACCGCCGACCGUCACGUCAUACAAUAAUGCAUACCUUUCAAUCUCCUUCCUGGACUUGAUUCGCAUCGUAAUAUGUCGAAUUCAAAAAUACGCAAAAUCGGAUUGGAUUUUUACAGAAUUGUGCGACAAGUUCUAGAUAUUUAAGGUUUUUUCAGUCCCAGCUUUAGCUAACUUACACGCGUGCUUGGCACACGUAAGCAUAAGAGCACUUGGAGGGGCAACCAUGUACAAUAUCUGAACAUUUAUACAUGUUUAUGGGUAUGUAGAAUAUUCUACAAACGUUUGGACUAUAAUUUCGAACAUCGAACAAAAUUCUAAACCGUCAGAAACUUACUGUGAACACCGAGUCAUUAGCCAACGUUGUCAAGCCUGGUUCCCGGCACUAAUCAAACCAACGAUCCGAAUGUCCCACAUUUUGCUACAGUUUACCAAAGCUAAGUACCAACGAACGUUUGCUUUCAUUUUGCAAUCUUUAUUUGUCAUGUGAAAUUCGUAUAUAGCUCCACAUUGUUUUUCGCAGACCUUUGCAUUAAAGAAUUAUAUUCAUGUGAUGUAAUGAAGUCUUCGAGUGUAGAACCACUUUUUGAACUAUAGCUCCGAGGGACUUACGUGAGAUUCAG
RNAcentral lists this unclassified non-coding RNA (4988 nucleotides) under Neodiprion pinetum (white pine sawfly). RNAcentral describes it as "cytadherence high molecular weight protein 2-like, transcript variant X2". The record is from RNAcentral. Lineage: Eukaryota; Metazoa; Arthropoda; Insecta; Hymenoptera; Diprionidae.